RNAcentral lists this ribosomal RNA (253 nucleotides) under uncultured bacterium. RNAcentral describes it as "partial 16S ribosomal RNA". It matches the Rfam family "Bacterial small subunit ribosomal RNA", at positions 524 to 776 of the family's 1533-position model. The record is from RNAcentral.
UACGGGGGGGGCAAGCGUUGUUCGGAAUUACUGGGCGUAAAGGGCUCGUAGGCGGCCAACUAAGUCAGACGUGAAAUCCCUCGGCUUAACCGGGGAACUGCGUCUGAUACUGGAUGGCUUGAGUUCGGGAGAGGGAUGCGGAAUUCCAGGUGUAGCGGUGAAAUGCGCAGAUAUCAGGAGGAACACCGAUGGCGAAGGCAGGUCUCUGGGCCACUACUGACGCUGAGAAGCGAAAGCAUGGGGGGCGAACAGG